RNAcentral lists this ribosomal RNA (599 nucleotides) under uncultured beta proteobacterium. RNAcentral's name for it is "bacterial SSU rRNA". It matches the Rfam family "Bacterial small subunit ribosomal RNA", at positions 55 to 648 of the family's 1533-position model. The record is from RNAcentral. Lineage: Bacteria; Pseudomonadati; Pseudomonadota; Betaproteobacteria.
AUGCAAGUCGAACGGUAACGCGGCCUUCGGGUGCCGACGAGUGGCGAACGGGUGAGUAAUGCAUCGGAACGUGCCCAGUGGUGGGGGAUAGCCCGGCGAAAGCCGGAUUAAUACCGCAUACGACCUACGGGUGAAAGCGGGGGACCCUUCGGGGCCUCGCGCCAUUGGAGCGGCCGAUGUCAGAUUAGGUUGUUGGUGGGGUAAAGGCCUACCAAGCCGACGAUCUGUAGCUGGUCUGAGAGGACGACCAGCCAUACUGGGACUGAGGCACGGCCCAGACUCCUACGGGAGGCAGCAGUGGGGAAUUUUGGACAAUGGGCGCAAGCCUGAUCCAGCCAUGCCGCGUGCGGGAAGAAGGCCUUCGGGUUGUAAACCGCUUUUGUCAGGGAAGAAAUCCUGCGGGCUAAUACCCUGCGGGGAUGACGGUACCUGAAGAAUAAGCACCGGCUAACUACGUGCCAGCAGCCGCGGUAAUACGUAGGGUGCAAGCGUUAAUCGGAAUUACUGGGCGUAAAGCGUGCGCAGGCGGUUGUGCAAGACAGAUGUGAAAUCCCCGGGCUCAACCUGGGAGCUGCAUUUGUGACUGUACGGCUGGAGUG